GCACUGGAUUGGACGUUUUUCCGCUGUGGUCCAUUCGUUGCACAUCGAAGGAGAGCGACGUCAGAUGUGCAAACGGUGC
Molecule: small RNA, 79 nt
Rfam family: CyVA-1 RNA
About the family: Cyanobacteria, Acidobacteria (1 example), Verrucomicrobia (1 example). Big IGRs
Source: Rfam